Molecule: long non-coding RNA, 954 nt
Organism: Capsicum annuum
Lineage: Eukaryota; Viridiplantae; Streptophyta; Magnoliopsida; Solanales; Solanaceae
Exons: 2
Source: RefSeq, a predicted model, not a curated record
UUUUCAAAUUUUGGAUGUUGCCUAUUCUCAAUAAUGGUGGAUUCUUAAUAUUCCACAUACACGUUUUGUUUUCCUAUAUAUAUGUAGCAACAUUCAUGCACGGAAGAGAGGGAAGGAAUUGAAAAAUUCUAAUACCAUAUAAUAUAUUAAGAGAGUUUAUUAGUUAAAGGGAGAUGUUUUUAUUGUGAGAGCUUUGAACUCAAUUCUAGUCCAGAGUAUUAUGUGUAGGCUGUUGUAUCCUGGAGGGGACAGGUCAAUGAGUAUUACUGUUAGACCGGAAAAACAACUACCGCAGUGAGCUUUAAUCUCCUUAAAGAGAGCGAGAUAUCUGCGCCUCAGCCAUAGAAGAAGAAAUAACAUUUUUUCUUUAUUCAUUUGUAAUCAAUUGUAAUAUCACUGCAAUUUUUUACUUAUAAUAUCACCACCAACUUUAAGGAGAUUCAAAGAUGACAACAACUGAAAAUUCCGCGGAUUUCAAGCUGGGAGAUGUGAACAAUCCAUUCCGAUUCGAUGAUACUCUCUUCAAGAGGUGGAAGAGUAAAGUGUUUUUCUACUUAAGUCUUCUCAAUGUUUUUUAUGUGUUAACUGAGAAGAAUCAAAAUAAAGUAGAUAACUCUUUCAUGACUGACGACGACACUAAAUCUCUUGAGGAGAAAGUUAAAAAAUACAACAGUGACUCCUACAACUGUUGUUAUUUUUUACUUAAUUGUCUAUCUGAUAAUUUUUAUGAUUAUUAUGAUAGAAUUUACUCUAGUGCAAAGAAAAUUUGAAAAGUCUUGACAUCGAGGAGGCCGAAGCGAAAAAAAUAUGCGGCUAGAGGCCAAGAUGCACUUAUGCAAACAGAAGGGAACAACAUCACACCGAAGGUGCACUGCUGAGAGAAUACCCAUUUUUGUUCUUGCGAAAAAAAAAAAAAAGCAAUGGAGAUCCACCGGGAGGAAUGGAUAGAGGUUA